This 465-nucleotide ribosomal RNA is filed under the name uncultured bacterium. RNAcentral's name for it is "partial 16S ribosomal RNA". It matches the Rfam family "Bacterial small subunit ribosomal RNA", at positions 338 to 795 of the family's 1533-position model. The record is from RNAcentral.
CCUACGGGAGGCAGCAGUGGGGAAUAUUGCGCAAUGGGCGAAAGCCUGACGCAGCGACGCCGCGUGAGGGAUGACGGUCCUCUGAUCGUAAACCUCUGUCUGUAGGGAAGUACGGUCACUGUGCUAAUCAGCAGUGAAUUGACGGUACCUGCAAAGGAAGCACCGGCUAACUCCGUGCCAGCAGCCGCGGUAAAACGGAGGGUGGGAGUGUUAAUCGGAAUGAUUGGGCGUAAAGCGCUCGUAGGCGGUAUGUUAAGUCAAGGGUGAAAUCCCGGGGCUCAACGUGGGAACUGCCGUUGAAACUGGCAAACUGGAGUGUGUGAGAGGAGAGUGGAAGUCGAGGUGUAGGAGUGAAAUGCGUAGAUAUCUGGAGGAACAUCAGUGGCGAAGGCGGUUAUCUGGCACAUAACUGACGCUGAGGAGCGAAAGCGUGGGUAGCAAACAGGAUUAGAUACCCGGGUAGUC